RNAcentral lists this ribosomal RNA (322 nucleotides) under uncultured eukaryote. RNAcentral's name for it is "partial 18S ribosomal RNA". It matches the Rfam family "Eukaryotic small subunit ribosomal RNA", at positions 1470 to 1796 of the family's 1831-position model. The record is from RNAcentral.
CCCUUAGAUGUUCUGGGCCGCACGCGUGCUACACUGAGUGGAUCAGCGGGUCAGGUUGCGCGAAAGUGUUUCCUAAUCUUGAAAUCCGCUCGUGAUGGGGAUUGACGGUUGCAAUUUUCCGUCAUGAACGAGGAAUACCUUGUAAGCGCGGGUCAUCAUCCCGCGCUGAAUACGUCCCUGCCCUUUGUACACACCGCCCGUCGCUCCUACCGAUUGAGUGGUCCGGUGAGGCUUUGGGAUCUGAGCAAAAAGAGCGUUUCGCUCGUUUGGCCCGGAAAACUCAGUCGAACCUUAUCAUUUAGAGGAAGGAGAAGUCGUAACA